RNAcentral lists this transfer RNA (65 nucleotides) under Lucanus chengyuani. RNAcentral's name for it is "tRNA-Ala". Lineage: Eukaryota; Metazoa; Arthropoda; Insecta; Coleoptera; Lucanidae. The record is from RNAcentral.
AGGAUAAUAGUUAAAAAUAACAUUUAAUUUGCACUUAAAAAAUAUUGAAAUUUCAAUUUAUCUUA